RNAcentral lists this ribosomal RNA (480 nucleotides) under uncultured bacterium. Its description in RNAcentral is "partial 16S ribosomal RNA". It matches the Rfam family "Bacterial small subunit ribosomal RNA", at positions 28 to 507 of the family's 1533-position model. The record is from RNAcentral.
GACGAACGCUGGCGGCGUGCUUAACACAUGCAAGUCGAACGAUGAAGAAAAGAAUCGAAGCUUCGGCAGAAAUUCAUUUCGGAUUAGUGGCAGACGGGUGAGUAACGCGUGAGCAACCUACCUCUUACAAAGGGAUAGCCUCGGGAAACCGGGAUUAAUACCAUAUAACAUUGCGACGAAGCAUUUCGAUGCAAUCAAAGCUACGGCGGUAAGAGAUGGGCUCGCGUCCCAUUAACCGGAUGGUGAGGUAACGGCUCACCAUAGUGACGAUGGGUAACCGGCCUGAGAGGGUGAACGGUCACACUGGAACUGAGACACGGUCCAGACUCCUACGGGAAGCAGCAGUGGGGAAUAUUGCACAAUGGAGGGAACUCUGAUGCAGCGACGCCGCGUGAGUGAUGAAGGAAUUCGUUUCGUAAAACUCUGUUCUAUGGGAAGAAAAGGACUGUACCAUAGGAGAAAGCUCCGGCUAAAUACGUG